CUCCAUGAAAGUGCAGGUUAUUUUACAGUUUGGAGGUGACACUGGACCCCUUGGAAAUCAGAGAAUGUGCACUUUCUUGGCAAAAUAUCCAAGGUAAGGGAGAGUAUAAAUGUGAAUGAGAAUGCUGAGUGUCGGAAGACAUUUGUUUUUUGUUUACAUCUAGGACCAGACCAGAGGGAGUGAGGUCUAUCUAUCCCACGAAGAAACUGAGAUGCAGCUUAUGAAAUAGAGGCUGACAAUGGCUCACCCACCUCCUUUGUAAGAGCCUGGUGUGUGCUACAGGAGCAUGGCCCAUAUACGUGUCAGGUUGAAGGACAACUCAGGAGCUGUCCAAGGCUCAACUUGGCCCCACUUGCCCCAUCUGGCAGCCUGGACCGAGCAUUGUUCAUUGAGUCCCACACCCACAUGGCCCCAGAGUCAAACCGCCUUUCAUGCUGAAGAAUGGAACUGAC
RNAcentral lists this long non-coding RNA (452 nucleotides) under Homo sapiens (human). Its description in RNAcentral is "non-protein coding lnc-TLE3-1:2". The record is from RNAcentral. Lineage: Eukaryota; Metazoa; Chordata; Mammalia; Primates; Hominidae.